UGCCAGCCGCCGCGGUAACACGUAGGACCCGAGCGUUAUCCGGAUUUACUGGGCGUAAAGCGCACGUAGGCGGACUGUUAAGUUAGAGGUGAAAUCCCGGGGCUCAACCCCGGAACUGCCUUUAAUACUGGCAGUCUAGAGUUCGAGAGAGGUGAGUGGAAUUCCGAGUGUAGAGGUGAAAUUCGUAGAUAUUCGGAAGAACACCAGUGGCGAAGGCGGCUCACUGGCUCGAUACUGACGCUGAGGUGCGAAAGUGUGGGGAGCAAACAGGAUUAGAUA
Molecule: ribosomal RNA, 279 nt
Filed under: uncultured bacterium
Lineage: Bacteria
Description: partial 16S ribosomal RNA
Rfam family: Bacterial small subunit ribosomal RNA
Source: RNAcentral